UACGAGAGGCGCAAACGUUAUUCGGAAUUACUGGGCUUAAAGAGUUCGUAGGCGGCGCGGAAAGUAGGGUGUGAAAGCCCUCGGCUCAACCGAGGAAUUGCGCCCUAAACUGCCGUGCUUGAGGAACCUAGAGGUGAGCAGAACAGAUGGUGGAGCGGUGAAAUGCGUUGAUAUCAUCUGGAAUACCGGAGGCGAAGGCGGCUCACUGGGGGUUUUCUGACGCUGAGGAACGAAAGCCAGGGUAGCGAACGGG
RNAcentral lists this ribosomal RNA (253 nucleotides) under uncultured bacterium. RNAcentral describes it as "partial 16S ribosomal RNA". It matches the Rfam family "Bacterial small subunit ribosomal RNA", at positions 524 to 776 of the family's 1533-position model. The record is from RNAcentral.